UUCACACGUCAUACAAUGGUCGGUACAGAGGGUUGCCAAGCCGCGAGGGUGGAGCCAAUCCCUUAAAGCCGAUCGUAGUCCGGAUCGUAGUCUGCAACUCGACUACGUGAAGUCGGAAUCGCUAGUAAUCGCAGAUCAGCAUGCUGCGGUGAAUACGUUCCCGGGUCUU
Molecule: ribosomal RNA, 169 nt
Filed under: uncultured Thauera sp.
Lineage: Bacteria; Pseudomonadati; Pseudomonadota; Betaproteobacteria; Rhodocyclales; Zoogloeaceae
Description: partial 16S ribosomal RNA
Rfam family: Bacterial small subunit ribosomal RNA
Source: RNAcentral